CGCACAUUGCGCCCCCUGGUAUUCCGGGGGGCAUGCCUGUUCGAGCGUCAUUUCAACCCUCAAGCCUGGCUUGGUGAUGGGGCACUGCUUCGAGAGGAGCAGGCCCUGAAAUUCAGUGGCGAGCUCGCCAGGACCCCGAGCGUAGUAGUUAUAUCUCGCUCUGGAAGGCCCUGGCGGUGCCCUGCCGUUAAACCCCCAACUUCUGAAAAUUUGACCUCGGAUCAGGUAGGAAUACCCGCUGAACUUAA
RNAcentral lists this unclassified non-coding RNA (248 nucleotides) under Diaporthe sackstonii. RNAcentral describes it as "partial contains 5.8S ribosomal RNA, internal transcribed spacer 2, and large subunit ribosomal RNA". Lineage: Eukaryota; Fungi; Ascomycota; Sordariomycetes; Diaporthales; Diaporthaceae. The record is from RNAcentral.